RNAcentral lists this ribosomal RNA (253 nucleotides) under uncultured bacterium. RNAcentral's name for it is "partial 16S ribosomal RNA". It matches the Rfam family "Bacterial small subunit ribosomal RNA", at positions 524 to 776 of the family's 1533-position model. The record is from RNAcentral.
GACGAACCGUCCAAACGUUGUUCGGAAUCACUGGGCUUAAAGGGCGCGUAGGCGGGCUGCCAAGUCAGGGGUGAAAUCCCACGGCUCAACCGUGGAAGUGCCUCUGAUACUGGCGGCCUCGAGGGAGGUAGGGGCGUGCGGAACUUCCGGUGGAGCGGUGAAAUGCGUAGAUAUCGGAAGGAACACCGGUGGCGAAAGCGGCGCGCUGGACCUCUACUGACGCUGAGGCGCGAAGGCCAGGGGAGCAAACGGG